UGCAUCUGAAGCCUGACGAGGAUGAGAACCUCCGGGGGCAAGAGGUUCGACUCGAGCGCAGCGAGAGAACGUUGCUUCAGCAACGGCCCGCAG
RNAcentral lists this small RNA (93 nucleotides) under Salmonella enterica. RNAcentral's name for it is "partial RtT sRNA". It matches the Rfam family "RtT RNA", at positions 1 to 89 of the family's 130-position model. From Rfam's summary of the family: This family represents a bacterial cis-regulatory element known as RtT RNA. The exact function of RtT is unknown although it is thought that it may be involved in changing the cellular response in relation to amino acid starvation. The record is from RNAcentral. Lineage: Bacteria; Pseudomonadati; Pseudomonadota; Gammaproteobacteria; Enterobacterales; Enterobacteriaceae.